GAAUAGCCCCGAUGGGAGUGGCAUUCUUUUAUAAACCCGUCAGGUUUGUAAAAGAUAUAGCGGACAGCGGGACUAAAC
This 78-nucleotide small RNA is filed under the name Flavobacterium aquaticum. RNAcentral's name for it is "Flavo-1 RNA". It matches the Rfam family "Flavo-1 RNA". Lineage: Bacteria; Pseudomonadati; Bacteroidota; Flavobacteriia; Flavobacteriales; Flavobacteriaceae. The record is from RNAcentral.